CAGGGAUUGCCCUAGUAACGGCGAGUGAAGCGGCAACAGCUCAAAUUUGAAAUCUGGCUUCGGCCCGAGUUGUAAUUUGCAGAGGAAGCUUUAGGCGCGGCACUUUCUGAGUCCCCUGGAACGGGGCGCCAUAGAGGGUGAGAGCCCCGUAUAGUUAGAUGCCUAGCCUGUGUAAAGCUCCUUCGACGAGUCGAGUAGUUUGGGAAUGCUGCUCAAAAUGGGAGGUAAAUUUCUUCUAAAGCUAAAUACCGGCCAGAGACCGAUAGCGCACAAGUAGAGUGAUCGAAAGAUGAAAAGCACUUUGAAAAGAGGGUUAAAUAGCACGUGAAAUUGUUGAAAGGGAAGCGCUUGUGACCAGACUUGCGCCGGGCAGAUCAUCCGGUGUUCUCACCGGUGCACUCUGCCCGGCUCAGGCCAGCAUCGGUUCUCGCGGGGGGAUAAAGGCCCUGGGAACGUAGCUCCUCCGGGAGUGUUAUAGCCCGGGGCGUAAUGCCCUCGCGGGGACCGAGGUUCGCGCAUCUGCAAGGAUGCUGGCGUAAUGGUCAUCAGCGACCCGUCUUGAAACACGGACCAAGGAGUCAAGGUUUUGCGCGAGUGUUUGGGUGUAAAACCCGCACGCGUAAUGAAAGUGAACGUAGGUGAGAGCUUCGGCGCAUCAUCGACCGAUCCUGAUGUUUUCGGAUGGAUUUGAGUAGGAGCGUUAAGCCUUGGACCCGAAAGAUGGUGAACUAUGCUUGGAUAGGGUGAAGCCAGAGGAAACUCUGGUGGAGGCUCGCAGCGGUUCUGACGUGCAAAUCGAUCGUCAAAUCUGAGCAUGGGGGCGAAAGACUAAUCGAACCAUC
Molecule: ribosomal RNA, 842 nt
Filed under: Chaetomium concavisporum
Lineage: Eukaryota; Fungi; Ascomycota; Sordariomycetes; Sordariales; Chaetomiaceae
Also listed under: 1 other name
Description: partial large subunit ribosomal RNA
Rfam family: Eukaryotic large subunit ribosomal RNA
Source: RNAcentral